GGAUUGUGGCUCAGUGGUAGAGUGCUCGCCGAAUAAGUGUGAGGUCCCAGGUUCGAUCCUCAGCACCA
This 68-nucleotide transfer RNA is filed under the name Marmota monax (woodchuck). Its description in RNAcentral is "tRNA.Ile". The record is from RNAcentral. Lineage: Eukaryota; Metazoa; Chordata; Mammalia; Rodentia; Sciuridae.